CAUCGACCAACCGGACGAUGACAACAAUCAUGAUGGCGUAGCAGCUGCUCAAAGAAAAAGAAGAGAUGCCGACGAUGCCUCCUCCGAUGCAGUAACUGCCGAAGACUCCGCAGAAAGAAAACGAAGAGAUGCCGAUGAUGCCUCCUCCGAUGCAGCAAAUGCCGAAGAUUCCGCAGAAAGA
Long non-coding RNA from Zophobas morio, 181 nucleotides. RefSeq lists it as uncharacterized. The record is from RefSeq and is a predicted model, not a curated record. The transcript is spliced from 3 exons. Lineage: Eukaryota; Metazoa; Arthropoda; Insecta; Coleoptera; Tenebrionidae.